UUAGCAAUUGUUGGUUAGCGGAGGAGUUGAUUCGGCUGUUUGUGCUGCUUUGUUACGCCAUGCAUUACAUCCAAACCAAAUUAUUGCAGUUCACAUUGACAACGGAUUCAUGCGUAAAGGAGAAAGUAAAAAGGUUGAAAAAUCUUUAAGGAAAAUCGGCAUUGAUCUGCUGGUGAAAAAGGAAACUUAUCGAUUUUAAAAGGCACUACACAGAUUAAAAGGCCUGGACAAUUCUCAAUUGCAGAAACGCCCAUGUUGUUUCAGACUAUUAACCCAGAGGAGAAACGAAAGUUUAUUGGUGAUGUAUUCGUAAAAAUUACCAAUGAUAUUAUAGCUGAAAUGAAGUUGAGCCUGAUGAAGUAUUAUUAGCUCAAGGUACACUUCGACCAGAUUUGAUUGAAUCUGCAUAAAAUUUAAUUAGCCAGAACGCAGAAACUAUUAAAACUCAUCAUAACGAUACAGAACUAAUAAGGCUAUUAAUAUAUGUCCAUAUUUCUUAUUAAAGCUUUAAUGUCUAACUGAUUUAAAACUAUUUUAUAAGACAAUUACCAAAUGCUGGUCGUGUCGUUGAACCUUUAACCGAUUUUCACAAAGAUGAAGUAAGAGAUAUAGGCAGAGAUCUCGGUCUACCAGCCGACUUAGUUGAACGACAACCAUUUCCAGGGCCAGGCCUAGCUAUCCGAAUUCUCUGUGCUGAAGAACCUUAUAUAGAAAAAGACUACUCAGAAACACAGUUAUAGCAAAAGUU
This is a long non-coding RNA of Bactrocera neohumeralis, 748 nucleotides long. RefSeq lists it as uncharacterized. The record is from RefSeq and is a predicted model, not a curated record. Lineage: Eukaryota; Metazoa; Arthropoda; Insecta; Diptera; Tephritidae. The transcript is spliced from 3 exons.